This 86-nucleotide transfer RNA is filed under the name Aeribacillus pallidus. Its description in RNAcentral is "tRNA-Leu". It matches the Rfam family "tRNA". Rfam says of the family: Transfer RNA (tRNA) molecules are approximately 80 nucleotides in length. RNAcentral also lists the same sequence under 1 other name. The record is from RNAcentral. Lineage: Bacteria; Bacillati; Bacillota; Bacilli; Caryophanales; Bacillaceae.
GCGGGUGUGGCGGAAUUGGCAGACGCACUAGAAUCAGGAUCUAGCGCCUUUAUGGCGUGGGGGUUCAAGUCCCUCCACCCGCAUCA